RNAcentral lists this small RNA (149 nucleotides) under Escherichia coli O139:H28 str. E24377A. RNAcentral describes it as "QUAD RNA". It matches the Rfam family "Short Intergenic Abundant RNA". Rfam says of the family: This family contains multiple ncRNA from E. coli that were identified in a large scale screen of E. coli, were they were called candidates 43,55 and 61. RNAcentral also lists the same sequence under 1 other name. The record is from RNAcentral. Lineage: Bacteria; Pseudomonadati; Pseudomonadota; Gammaproteobacteria; Enterobacterales; Enterobacteriaceae.
UUGACACUAAGGGCGGAGUGACAUAAUUUUAGGAGUGAGGGUUAGGGAGAGGUUUCCCCCUCCCCCUGGUGUUCUUAGUAAGCCUGGAAGCUAAUCACUAAGAGUAUCACCAGUAUGAUGACGUGCUUCAUCAUAACCCUUUCCUUAUU